Long non-coding RNA from Hippocampus zosterae (dwarf seahorse), 1047 nucleotides. RefSeq lists it as uncharacterized. Lineage: Eukaryota; Metazoa; Chordata; Actinopteri; Syngnathiformes; Syngnathidae. The record is from RefSeq and is a predicted model, not a curated record. The transcript has 2 exons.
UCCACUCGACGGAAGAAAACAAACUUUGUGUACAGUGUCCCAUCUUUGUUGUACUGACCUUUUAUUGCUUUGUGGGUGGAACAUUUCAGUCAGUCAGUCAGUCAGACAGGCAAGCAAGCGGUGGCGGCACGACCUGAGUCCAGGAUGCAAAACAAUAGGGGAGGAAGGGGAAUCCUGGGGGAAGCUCAAAGUCUCUCACGCAUCUUCCCAAUUACAUUCAACUGAAGGCAGCACACCCAAUCAACAGAUGAAUGGCCUUCCUUUGUGUGACGUCUGUUUUUUGUUUGCCUUGAGCAGAGCAGACCCAUUCUGCGGUUGUGCCUUGGCACAUUUGAUGAACCUGAUACAGUAUAAAAGGAUACAGGAAAAGUUCCCUUUGUUCCGUGUUUCAAUGUGUUUCAUACAGUAACUGCGUGUGUGGGUUGGUGUUUUGGGAACCCUAUUUUGUGCAAGACUCCAGGUGCAAGCUGGGACUCGCUCGCAUGCCCACAAGUCAAAAAUUCAAUGGGAUUGCCUCCAAGCGGGAGGCAAGAUCGUGGGGAUCUUUAUCUUCAGUUUUUCUGAGAUUCUCAUCAGGAUAAAGCGGGCUACAAGGAUGGAUGGAGGGUUGGAGAUUGUGUUUAAAUGUCGCUAGAUCAUUUAGAUUUCUUGUAAAUGCUGCACUUGUUUUUACGCCUCCAGGAAAAUGUGACACACAUCACUGCUGAACGGGUCAAACAAAAUACGGCCCCCCGCCCCCUCCCUCGGCCCCCAUGACAUCAUCCUGUACUUAAAUUGUCGACUGGCAUUUGAGUGGGCACGGGGCUGCAACAUCACAGCAAGGGGAAUUUUCUUUUAGUCACCGUAUCUGAGCGUUGCAUGAAUGUAUUUGUAUUUUUUAUUUUAAGCAGAAGUGGAACAUUCACAAAAUGUCCCGCGUGGGUCACAAAACCGAAAUCUUACACAUACUGUAUGGCAUUCUAUCAAUGUAUGUUUGACAUUUACAGAAUUCAUCUUUUACUUUGGUGUGUCAUGGGAUUGAGAAAAUAAAGUAUUCAUUUAACUGAG